This 459-nucleotide long non-coding RNA is filed under the name Brassica napus (rape). RNAcentral's name for it is "long non-coding RNA (BNAP_LNC019420)". The record is from RNAcentral. Lineage: Eukaryota; Viridiplantae; Streptophyta; Magnoliopsida; Brassicales; Brassicaceae.
CGGGUUCUGAUACAGAAACACAGAACAGAACAGAGAGAGAGAGACAAGAAAACUGAUGGAGAGAGACGAAGAUCGCCGGAAAGGAUCGUUCGGAUUCUGAUCCGACUGUCCUAAAGCCGAGCGAUGGUGUGUUCGGUGUGGUCUGAGUCGUGUCAGACGGACUGAAGAUGGAACGAUCGUUCUCGAUGUAGUUACUGCGGUAUACGGUGGUUACAGUCCAUGGAACGGUGCGCAAGCCGCGGGAAAGGGACCGCUGGCUUAAUCUGUGCAGUCAUUGUUGUGUACUGAUGGAUCGCGAUGCAUACUAGAGCCUGCGGUGGCUAAGAUCGAGAUGCAGUGGUCGCGGGCCUGGAGACAGCGUAUCUCUUGGGUUCGAUGUCCUGAUCUGAACAAUCCCGAUCGGACACUGUGUACGAAUUGGGUGUGGUCUGUGUGCGACAGCAUAUGCUAUCAGUCUGU